GCCGCUAUGGUGAAAUCGGUAGACA
Molecule: transfer RNA, 25 nt
Filed under: Agave americana
Lineage: Eukaryota; Viridiplantae; Streptophyta; Magnoliopsida; Asparagales; Asparagaceae
Also listed under: 41 other names
Description: partial tRNA-Leu
Source: RNAcentral